This 1171-nucleotide long non-coding RNA is filed under the name Mytilus galloprovincialis (Mediterranean mussel). Lineage: Eukaryota; Metazoa; Mollusca; Bivalvia; Mytilida; Mytilidae. The record is from RNAcentral.
UGGCUGAUUAUUUGUCAUGGCAUUUAUUCAACAAUAUUCAACAAUAUAAACCAACAAACAACCAACAUCAACAAACUGGCCAACAAGUUAAAACUUGAUGACAAUUGGUCACUGAAGGGAAAACCAACAGUAAAUGCAUAACAAUUUCUAGCUGCUGGGCAGAUCCAUAACAGCUUAAUGAACGAUAUUUGAAUAAAUCACUGCCAGUUGAAUCAUGUUGAUGAUGACAUCCAACGCACUUUCCAUAUUGAACGGAAUGCCAUGACGAUAGACACUCUUUUUUAUUAUUCCUGCAAAUUCCUUGAAUAUUCAGGUUUCAUUGGAUCUGCCGAUGAAUAUUGAAACGUCUGACACUUUUGAUGAUACAUGACAAUCUAAUGGGAACAUUCAAUACAUUUGGAUCUGUUCACCAUGUAAUCUGAAAAAUAAACUAAAAACAGCAGCAAUUUUGUUUGUUAAAGGGAGGGAGGGUGGGUUGUGCAAUCUUGAAAAAUACUCGUGGAAUGAAAAUUUAGCGGGAGCACGUGCUUAUAUAUGACCAAAGUCCACGAGGCGCUUCAAAGCAUAUUCUUUCGUAUGUUUAAAUAUAUGGUUGUAAUUAUUUAAUGGCAAAACGUAAAUAAUGGACUGACGUACAUUUGAAACACAAUAAACAACUAAAUGUAUUUUAAUGCAAUAAAUCAAUUUAAUUAUUAGAUCAUUAAAUUUUAUUAUUGCAUAUUCAAUGUGCGCAAUGAAUAUACAACUACAGAUGUGUUAUGUUCCAUUCUUUCGCAAGAAAAAUAUAAACAACAAACAAACAAACAAUUGAAAUUUGAAAUUUGGCUGAUUAUUUGUCAUGGCAUUUAUUCAACAAUAUUCAACAAUAUAAACCAACAAACAACCAACAUCAACAAACUGGCCAACAAGUUAAAACUUGAUGACAAUUGGUCACUGAAGGAAAACCAACAGUAAAUGCAUAACAAUUUCUAGCUGCUGGGCAUAUCCAUAACAGCUUAAUGAACGAUAUUUGAAUAAAUCACUGCCAAAAUUGGCAUUUUAGUGAACUCUCAAUCAAAUGCUAAUCCGCCAUGACAAUUAAAGCAGCAUAAAUUAAAAGAAAAUAUAAUCAACUAGUUGUUAUUCUUUUCAACAUACAACAAAUAAACAAACAACAUCAUUCAUGCAUCGG